This 253-nucleotide ribosomal RNA is filed under the name uncultured bacterium. RNAcentral's name for it is "partial 16S ribosomal RNA". It matches the Rfam family "Bacterial small subunit ribosomal RNA", at positions 524 to 776 of the family's 1533-position model. The record is from RNAcentral.
UACGAAGGGGGCUAGCGUUGCUCGGAAUCACUGGGCGUAAAGGGUGCGUAGGCGGGUCUUUAAGUCAGGGGUGAAAUCCUGGAGCUCAACUCCAGAACUGCCUUUGAUACUGAAGAUCUUGAGUCAGGGAGAGGUGAGUGGAACUGCGAGUGUAGAGGUGAAAUUCGUAGAUAUUCGCAAGAACACCAGUGGCGAAGGCGGCUCACUGGCCCGGUACUGACGCUGAGGCACGAAAGCGUGGGGAGCAAACAGG